RNAcentral lists this long non-coding RNA (442 nucleotides) under Pogona vitticeps (central bearded dragon). RNAcentral's name for it is "lncRNA (ENSPVIG00000011096.1)". Lineage: Eukaryota; Metazoa; Chordata; Lepidosauria; Squamata; Agamidae. The record is from RNAcentral.
AGGUUCACCAUCGCUGUCCUAGGGCAUAUUUCUUCGAAUAAUAGCUGAGGAACAGGUAUAAAUUAGAAACAGAUAGAUAUAUAGCAACAAAUUAGAGUGCUUGGAAUUUUAGUACUCACCAGACUCACCAGCCUAUCUCCUUCUUUAAAAGAAAUCCCUAAAGCAGACUUGAUUUCCUGGCUGGAAGGAGGAGAAGAUCCAUUUGUCCAGAUCUCUGAUGAGCAGAAGAGAUUGGCAGGUGCCUGCUUAGGGGAUGACAACUGCCAGAACCUACCACACGUGUCAUGGGAAGAUAAGGAGCCUGAAGAAGCAAGAGCGUUAUUUGGGAAUCUAAAGGGACCAGAGAAUCAUGUGCAAAACCAGUCCAAAAAAGGAAAGAAAAAAUCCUCAAAUUCUCAGGAUGGAGAUGGCAAAUUAAAGAGCUAUGGUAUAAUCCAGCAAG